This 1405-nucleotide ribosomal RNA is filed under the name bacterium. Its description in RNAcentral is "bacterial SSU rRNA". It matches the Rfam family "Bacterial small subunit ribosomal RNA". The record is from RNAcentral.
UGCAGUCGAACGGCAGCACGGGCUUCGCGGCUGGUGGCGAGGGGCGACGGGUGAAUAAUGUAUCAAAACGUGCCAAUCAGCGGGGGAUAGCUACACAAAAGCGUAGCUCUUACCCCAAACCCCCUACGGGGGAACGGGGGGGAUCGCGGGACCUUGCACUAUUAGAGCGGCCGAUAUCGGAUUAGCUAGUUGGUGGGGUAACGGCUCACCAGGGCGACAAUCCGUCGCUGGUUUGAGAGGACAACCAGCCACACUGGGACUGAGAACGGCCCCAACUCCUACGGGAGGCCGGGAGGGGGAAUUUUGGACUAUGGGGGAAACCCUGAUCCCCCCAUCCCGCGUGUGCGAUGAAGGCCUUCGGGUUUUAAAGCACUUUUGGCCUUAAAGAAACGUCAUGGGCUAAUACCCCGUGAACCUGACGGUACCUGCGUAAUAAGCACCGGCUAACUACGUGCCUUCAGCCCCGGUAAUACGUAGGGUGCAAGGGUGAAUCGGAAUUACUGAGCUUAAGGCGUGCGCACGCGGUUCGGAAAUAGUUAUGUUAAAUCCCAAAGCUUGAACUUUGGAACUGCAUUUUUAACUACCGAGCUGGAGUGUGUCAGAGGGAGGUGGAAUUCCGCGUGUAGCAGUGAAAUGCGUAGAUAUGCGGAGGAACACCGAUGGCUAAGGGAGCCUCCUCGGCAUAACACUGACACUCAUGCACUAAAGCGUGAGGAGCAAACAGGAUUAACAUACCCUGGAUACUCCACGCCCUAAACGAUGUCAACUAUGCUGAUUGGGGACGUUCGGGGUCUUAGUUAGCGCAGCUAACUGCGUGACAGAUCGACCUCCUGGGGAGUACUGUCGCAAGAUGAAAACUCAAAUGAAUUUGACAGGCACUCGACACAAGCGGCUGGAUGAUGUGGAAUAAUUCGAUGUCAACUACGAAAACCUUACUUACCCUUGACAUGUCUGGAAUUCGGAAGAGAUUUGCAAGUGGUAACUAGAGAACCGGAACACAGGUGCUGCAUGCAGGUCGUCUGCUCGUGUCUUGAGAUGUUGGGUUAAGUCCCGCAAACCGCGCACCCUUUGUCAUUAGAUGUUAUGAAAGGGCAUUUUAAGGAGACUGCCGGUGACAAACCGGAGGAAGGGGGGGAGGAGGUCAAUUCUUCAUGGCCUUUAUGGCUAGGGCUUCACACGUCAUCCAAUGGUCGGGACAGAGGGUGGCCACCCCGGGAGGCGGAGCCAAUCCCAGAACCCCGUUUGUAGUCCGGAUCGCGUUCUGCAAUUGGAUCCCGUGAAGUGGGAAUCGCUGGUAAUCCAGGAUCAGCAUGUCGCGGUGAAUACGUUCCCGGGUCCUUGUACACACCGCCCGUCACACCAUGGGAGUGGGUUGUCACCAUGUAAGUCAGUGUAUGCACGUAAC